This is a long non-coding RNA of Carcharodon carcharias (great white shark), 660 nucleotides long. RefSeq lists it as uncharacterized. Lineage: Eukaryota; Metazoa; Chordata; Chondrichthyes; Lamniformes; Lamnidae. The record is from RefSeq and is a predicted model, not a curated record. The transcript has 4 exons.
AGAUUACCUGCAAUCUGCAUUAGGCGGCACUUCCCGAAAUACGCAAUAAGAGUUCGCCCUUUGGCCAAUGCAUUUGUCAGUUAAUUGUUGAAACAAGGAAAGCCACAGUUUCUUCAGCAGCUGAAACGCUCCCGACUGUCUCUGCUCCCGACUCCCGACUGUCUCCGCUCCACUCCGACUCCACCCCCAGACUUUAAGGAGAAACAUCUCCAUCAUUUAAAGUGCAUAGAAAUGUUUAUCUUAACCUGAGGAUCACCAUAGAAAUGAAUGCACAAGGAAAGGGUUUAAAAUGCCAGCUGCCAGUUCUGGGGUGCGAGUGAGUGCUGUGAAGGUCACAGCAGAAGAACAGCAACUAGGCAUCCCUGCGGUUUGCAGGUAAAAGUCUUUUCUCUCUCUGGCUGGCGGCAAGUCAUCAAAGCCACAGUCAAAAAGGAAACAGGACAACUCCUUCAGCUAACCUGUAGAACCAAAUGCUCCAAACCAACUGCUCAACUGCCAAAGUCACCUCUACUAGAAUCGCUCAACGGCCACAACGUUUCGCCAGCUACUCCCCACGGACAAGCUAAAGAUGGAUUCAUAUGUCUUUUUAGCUUUUAUUUUUAGACUCAACUCAUUUCUAAUCUGCAUAUGUUUAUGUGUUGCGUUUUUAAAAUUUUUUUC